RNAcentral lists this ribosomal RNA (253 nucleotides) under uncultured bacterium. Its description in RNAcentral is "partial 16S ribosomal RNA". It matches the Rfam family "Bacterial small subunit ribosomal RNA", at positions 524 to 776 of the family's 1533-position model. The record is from RNAcentral.
UACGGAGGGUGCAAGCGUUAUCCGGAUUCACUGGGUUUAAAGGGUGCGUAGGCGGGCAGGGAAGUCCGUGGUGAAAUCCCCGAGCUUAACUCGGGAACUGCCAUGGAUACUAUUUGUCUUGAAUAUUGUGGAGGUAAGCGGAAUAUGUCAUGUAGCGGUGAAAUGCUUAGAUAUGACAUAGAACACCAAUUGCGAAGGCAGCUUACUACACAGUUAUUGACGCUGAGGCACGAAAGCGUGGGGAUCAAACAGG